GUAACAUUACCAUUUGUAAAAAUUAAUUUGUAACACAAAAACCUGUAGAUAUUAAUUUGAGUAACAGUGAAGUCCUAGUACUCGAUUUCUAGUGACUUCUCUAGCAAGAUACUGAUGAUGUGUACUUUCGUGUCUGCUAUUUUUAUGGUAUUUUGAUAACAAUUUUUUCUUUUAGUUGGGUAAAAUAAUUUUCUCUUACCUCUCUCCCUUUCUCUUACUCCUAGUCUCCUCUCCCCUCCCAUCUUUCUGUCUCUCUUUCCUUCCUCUCCUUACUUGUUGCUGCCUUGGCUACCUUGCUUUCUUUUUUCUUCCCAUCCAU
Molecule: unclassified non-coding RNA, 319 nt
Filed under: Hevea brasiliensis (rubber tree)
Lineage: Eukaryota; Viridiplantae; Streptophyta; Magnoliopsida; Malpighiales; Euphorbiaceae
Source: RNAcentral